UGGGCUCGCAAAUGGGUCUUUCGCCACCGCAAUUCCCUCAGACUAAUAUCCCUGCGCGUGCAGCUACCCCUACUCCUCCUCAAUCGGCGGCAUCAAAUGAUGGGCCAACAGAAAUGUCCCCUUCGCCGAUGCCUCAGAAUGUGUGGCCGCCUCCUCAUUGGGUGACUUACAUGCAGUAGUUCCAGCAGAACCCUUCGUGGUCGCAGCACCCGCCGCCGCCGCCGUAGUCGUGAGUUGUGUUUGUAUGGACAUGCACUCUUUGUAUAGACUAUCGUUUGAACUUGUGCUUGUAUGGACAUGUAUGAACUACCAGUGCUUGUAUGGACUUGUAUCGACUACAUUUGGGCUUGUAUGCAUUGCGAUAUUUGCUAUAUUUGCAUUUGGACUUCUAUGGAUUGAAUGUGAUGCAAAUUGUGAUAUAUGAAAUGAUCGUGACAUUUGAUGCAAUA
This is a long non-coding RNA of Panicum virgatum (switchgrass), 449 nucleotides long. RefSeq lists it as uncharacterized. The record is from RefSeq and is a predicted model, not a curated record. Lineage: Eukaryota; Viridiplantae; Streptophyta; Magnoliopsida; Poales; Poaceae. The transcript is spliced from 2 exons.